Felis catus (domestic cat) is the source of this 8370-nucleotide long non-coding RNA. RefSeq lists it as uncharacterized. The transcript has 2 exons. NCBI's taxonomy places the organism in Eukaryota, Metazoa, Chordata, Mammalia, Carnivora, Felidae. The record is from RefSeq and is a predicted model, not a curated record.
CCCUUGAUCUCUGUAGCAAGAGAUUCUCUGCUGUCCUGUAUACUGUUUUCCAGCCCAGCGAUUAAUUUUAUGACUAUUAUUCUAAAUUCACUUUCUGUUAUAUUAUUUAAAUCCUUUUUGAUCACCCAGAAUGCAUAUUCUUAUCAAGCACACAUAGAACAUUCUCCAGGGGGAACCAAGUAGUAGACCAUAAAACAAGCCUCAAUAAAUGUAAAUUCACAAAUGUAUGGAAAAUUAUUCAACAGACUUGUAAAUAACCAGUGGGUAAUGUAACAGAGCAAGAAAAAUCCAUUGAUAUGGUUUAAAAUUCCUCACUACAAGCAACCUGUCAAUAACUGCCACUAGUUCAGCCUCAGUAUAGUAUUAAUCUGAACAGAAAAUCAAACUUCCCCAUUUUCUACUAUACAUGUGUGAGAAGUAAAAUUUUUUUCAUGUAUUUCAACGAAAACAACAAAAAACUGAAUGCAAAAAGAGAUAGAAGAAUCUUCUGUCUUCUAUUAUGCCAGACAUUAAAGAGAUUUAAAAAAAAAAUGUAAAGCAAUGCCACUCCACUAAUUUUUAAAUUUGGAAGGUAUAGUUAAUUUUUUCAUAAAAUAUAGGUUAUGUUAACAUGCAAUGGGUUUAUUGUUAUUUUUAAAUGAAUUAAUAGAAACAUUAGCAAUUAUUUGUUUUUAAUUUCAAAUAGAGUAAUAGUGAUAGACAUAACUCAAAGAAAACUCUUUGGGGUCCUUAGACCAAGAAGUUUUAAAACCACUGUGUACAUAAUGAGUAAUAAAUCCUGCUUUGCCUUCCCCAUUUGAAAUGAUAUGACUGAUACCUCUGCCUAUAAAUCUUUUUGGUCUCUUACUCUAUAUGUCCUAGCAUUACACAUGUUUCAGAGUUGUUUUUUUUUCUUCCCCGAGAUAGUGCCACUUGGCAUUUAUAUGAAUACUCACUACAGAAUAUACUAAAAAAUGAUCAUGCUUACACUGAGUGCCAAGAUACUUGGAAUAAUUUUUACCCUGUGUCUCUUCUAAUACAGUAGAAGUGCUAGGAGUAUUGCUAUAUCUUUAGUAUCUUUUACAUAUCUGUAUUAAGAAUUUCUGAAAUAAUUCCUCUAGUUCAUGUAAGUAUUUAUGCACACAUCUUAAAUUCCUUUAGGUGAAACCUGAAAAGGUAAUAUGCCAGAGGCCCAAACUAUGGGAAUGUCAAUCAGGAAUGAUGAUAACACAUCUGUGAGUUUCACAUUAAUUUCUUCACACUUCCUCUGAAAUGGAUUUUUGUUCUGUUAUGGACUGAAUGUUUGUCUCCACCCCAAAUUUAUAUGUUGAAGCCACAACUCCUAAUGUGCUGAUAUCUGGAAGGUAAUUAGGGUUAGAGAGGUCAUGAGAGUGCAACCCUCGAGACACCACAGAGCUUGCUCUCUCUCUCUCCAUGUGCUCAAACCUAGAAAGGCCAUAUUAACACAAAGCAAGAAGGUGACCCUUGGCAAGCCAGGAAGAGAGCCUCCAUCAAAACGUGACCAUACUGGUACCCUGAUCUUAGACUUCCAGGUUCCAUAACUGUGAGAACAUAAAUUUCUAUUGUAUUUUGUAAUGGUAGUUAGAGCUGAUUAAUACAAUAAUUUUAGGCCUGUGAGUUAUUCCACAUAUUUCAUAUAUUGAGAGUAUUUUAGGUAUUAGCUUUUCAAAUCCUGAGAAUAACAAUGUAGUUUUUAGAGUCACAAUAUGGAUUCAAAUUUCUCCUCUUUAUUUUCUGUGUGAUCUUCGGCAGGUUACUUAACUCCUCCCUGUUUCAGUUCCCUCAUCUUAAAUUAAGGAUAAUCACAGUACCUCUCUCAUAGGAUUAUAGUGAAGACUGAGCAAAUAUGUGUAAAAUAAUUAGAACAGUGCCUGGCACACAGAUUCUAAAACUACAUGAAUAAUUUCUUUGCAAGAAUUUAUCUUUGGAAUAAAAUUCCACUUCCAAGUAUACAUAAUUGCUGUGUAAGACAAAGAUGGCCUAUAGUAAAUCCCUUUCCCUAAUGUCCAGGGCUGUGGACUGGACUUUCAAACUUUAGAAAGCACUGAACACCUGGAGUGACUGUUAAAAUACAGAUGGAUUGAGUGCAUCCUCAGAUGUUCUUAUUUCACAUGUCUGGGUGAGCCCUUGGGAAUGUGCAUUUCUUACACUUUCCAGAGAUGCUGAUGCUGGUUGUUUGGGGACCCCACUUAUCUACUAGGACUACAUUUUGUAUACUUUAUAAAAAUUAUCAGCUUAUGAGAGUAUUUAGCAUACCCUAAGUUUUUGUUUAAUGAUUGGAUUUGAUUGAAUACAAGAGAAUAAAACCAUUGAUUCAGUUGGGUACACAGAAAACACUGAGACACUUCUCAUUCUUUUCAAUUGCUUGUAGUGGUGCGGAUUUUUUUUUUUUUUUAUAGUAGCAAUGCACCUUUCUUAACCAACACAAAUUUUGCAAAGCAGUAAAAUGAGAGUUCACAGAAUUGAAAUUUCGCAGAUUUGAAAGGCAAAGAGAUUCAAGAUGGGAAUCAUUAAGCUUUCUGAAUUCUGUGAUAUAAUAUGAAAUGUUUAUUUACUUUAAAUUAUUUAGCUCUUAAAAGGCAUGAUCUGAAAGUAUUUAUUGUGUAAGUGCUUUCAUGUGGCCUAUACUAUUAUGACUUGAGCAUACUCAAUUUUCAUCUGUAACUACAAAAUAGUGUGACCUUUUCCUCUUAAGGGCAAACUUAAGGCUAUCAGAUAGGUAUAUAAGUGAAGUGUAGGGUCUUGUUGGAAUAUGUGUGGGAGUAGAAUUCCCUUGACAAGCAAGGAAGCAAGUAGUAUACAUAAGAAAAUAUGGAUAUUUCAGCAUUAAAUAACCUUUAUUAAAUUUGCAAGCAAAUUCUAAUUUGCAAGUGAUUUAAAUUGAGAGAAAGAACAAUCAUGUAGACGGAAGCACUCCUAUCUUGAGCAAUAAAUCAGAGUAUUUCAAAUGAGAGAAUCUUAUAGCUUGUACAGUUUCACAAGAGAUAGUUUAAAAUGAUUUGGAGGGAACAUCUCUGAAACAGCAAAUAUUUGACUGAAUGGAUAUUUAGGGUGCUAGCUUAAAAAGUUUAGUUAAUCAGAGAAAGAUGAGAGUAACUUUUACUUUCUAUUGUUGUUAUUCUGCCCAGAUGUCUGCAAACAUUUUCUCUAUAGAGCCAGAUAGACAGUAAAUAUUUUAGGCUUUGUGGACCAUAAGGUCUUGCAUUGCCAGUUACUUUGAUAUAGCAUUAAAGUAGCCAUAGAUAAUAUGUAAAUAAAUGAGUGCGGCUGUGUCCCAAUAAUACUUAAUUCACAAAAACAGUCAGGAAGCUGGAUUUGUCCACUGGAUGGUGUUUUCUUGCCCCUGUUCUAUUCAACAGAAAGAACAAUAAGGCAGAAAUUAUAAAAUUCUAAGUAGUUUGUCUGAUAUGGAUGAUCACUCUAGCAUAAGGUUUAUAUGUACCAAUGAUGUGUUUUAACGUUUAGAAAUGUUUUCCACAUACAUGGGAUAAGGAAAAGGCACUUACUAUAAAUGGGAAGACUUGUAACAAUACAUAAACAAUCUCUUUUUUAUCACUUCCUAUAUUAAGUGAGUAAUUAUUGAGUUCUUCACCAUUUCACGAGAGUUUCUUCCUUUUUACAGUAAGACAUCUAAGUUCCUGAAUUGAACAGAAAAAGACACAGGGUUUUUUUUUUUUUUUUUUUUUUUUUGUCCCUGGUUUGUAAGUGGGGGGAGAAGGCUGAGUCAGGGUCUAGGAAUGGACCUGGUGCUGCUUUGGAGGUCCUGAGUUUCAUCUGAAGUUUACAGACACACUUUUGAGGAUGUAACCUGUAGUAAGUGGUACAGUAAUCUUGGUUGUCUAAGUGUUAAGAGUUCUUGCUUAAUGAAACAAAUGCAUACUAGUUUCUAUAAAAUGAACUGUUUUCUCUUUGAAAUUCCUCCCCCCUACAGAAUUCACACUGAGGUCAACGUUCCCCCCUACACAUUCCUAUGGAGACCUAACAUCCAGGAUUAGCAAGAAGUGUAUUAAACGUCUUUUUUUUUCGAGCUGCCCAAAGAGUGUCUUUGAAGACACUCUUGAAUUGUUUUUGCUGUGGACAUUUGAUUUCCUAAACAAUCCAAGACCAUUCCCCUCUUUUAUGCUUUUACCCUAUCCUCUCCCAUCCCUCCAAUUUUUAACUACCUGAAUUGGGUAUGUUCGCCCAGUUAUAAGCACUCCUAACGCUGGGUACUUUACUACUGAAGUGCUCAUCAUUCUUGUAAUUCUUCAUAUGGUCUUAGAUUGUGAAUUCCAUGAGGUUGGGUACAAUUUUGGAUUUGUUCACUGCUGUAUCCCAAUGUUUUAUAGUGGAGCCUGGAUCAUGGUAAGUGCUUAACAACUAUUUUUUUUCAAUGACUGAAGGAAUGAUGUGGUUUUAUAAUUCAGGUCACAAGAAUUUACUCUUAGUAGCCCCAGGGCCUACAGCCACGUCAACCUUAGGCACUAAAUAAAUGAUGCCUUCGCAUAUACUAUUUUCCUCUACCUGGACUGCCCUCCUUCUGCUUCUGUACCUACUAAAAUCCUAGUCCUUCAAGAAUCAAGUCAUGGUCACCAUGGAAGACUCUACAGGUUGUCCAUUUUACCACUCUAGGGGGUGCCACUGACAUAGACUGUGACAUGAAUGGUGAAACCCUGGAGCUGUGCAAUAUAAAGGCCACUCCCAGCUCAAAUAUCUCAUUCUACUAGUAUGCUGUACUAGUGUACUAGACUGUGAUCUCCAUGAGGGCAGUGAUUUUUGUCUCAUGUAGCACCUAGAACAUAGCAGGAAGUGAAUAAAUAAAUAUUGACUGAAUACAUGAAUGACCUCCUCAGUCAUAAAAAAAUCACUGGUCCUUUAUGUCUUACAUCUUGUCCUUGCUUCUGGUUUGGCAACUUUUUUUGUGUGGAAUGAUGUUUGUAAGUGCCUCACGAUUAUGACCCAGUUCCCAGUGAUUCUGAAUCUUCUUUUUUAUACUGGAAUGUGAGGGUUUUAGAGAGCCUGUAAUAGUAAGAUGGAAGGCAUGAUGCCAUAUCUACACACAGGCAGAUCAACUCUCCACAGAAAUUUCUGGAAAUUGUGCACAACCAUGUUUUAAUGUGGCCUGAAAAUUUCACAUCAGGGUGUGGUACAUACAGUUUGGGUCACAAACCAUGGUUUUUGAGAAGUGCUGUUUGAGAGUGAAGGCUCUAGAAACUUAGAUAGGAAGCACAAAUAAGCCUUAAUGGAUGGCAGUUAUACUCACAGGUGCCAGCCCAAACAUAAGGUACACAACCAGGCAUUGAUGGCUUGAAUUGUAUAAAAGAGUGGUGUCCCAUGUUCUCAAGAGUUGGGGGAAGGGAGGGACUGUGUCAUACGUGUAGGUGACCAAACCUCAUGUUUUCAGCAAUGAUAUCUAGUAUAUUGUGAUUUAAUAUUCUCGGUAUUUUGGGGUCUCAGAUCAUACAGGAGCAUUUUUUCUCUUGGAUUCACUGCAAAGCCCAAGGAUUUACUCACACUUUCCUGGACACACCUCACUUAACAUGACAUUUGUACAAUGAUGUUUUGUAUCAGGCUGAGUAAGUGGUAAAGCAGUCAAUCAUUGAGUGUAUAACCCUGGGUAAGCAUUGCCAAACAAUGGCCCCUGUGGCAAACCUGGCCUGCAUCCUGUUUUUAUAAAUUUUUAUUGGAACACAGAUUUUUGCUCAUUGUUUACAUAUUGUCUAUGGCUGCUUUUACUUUAGAGUUGAGUAGUUGAGAUGGAGACCAUGUGACCCACACAAAGCUGAAACUAUUUACUCUCUGGUCUUUUACAGUUUGCCAACUUCUGACUUAGGAGACGAAGCCUCCUUCUGUCAUUAGAAGAAGUCAUGUUGUAAUUGCCUAUUUUCGUUUUUAAAUUGAAGUAUAGUUAACAUACAAUUUUACAGUAGUUUCAGUUUUUAUUUUCAAGGCAGAAACAUAUUUGUUGAAAACAUUUCAUAAAUUGGUUUCAUAAAUUUUGGUAAGAAAAAAUUAAGACAUUAGCUAUUCCUCUGGAAUGCUGAGCCCUAUACCCCAUCAUCUAGUAAGUUCACUUUCUGUGUGAAAAUCAGUACAAAUCUCUCACAUUGUCCCAACUUUCCUUUUAAAUGCCAUGUCUGAUAUUCGUUUGAGAGAAUUCAGAGAAGUUAAAUGAAAAAAUAUUAGUGAUCUCUCAAAUUUUCCAUUCUAGAAGUAAACAAGGACUAUAUUUGGCUCAUUUUUCUUGUUCUAGGAUGUGUCAUAUUGAUGCAAUACUGUUUGGGUGCUGUAUUAUACAGAUUGUUUUAAACUAACUGUCCUCUGUAUGCCUGUUGAAUUAUAGAAAAUCAGGGUUGGAAUACAUUUCAUUUCUUCAUUAGACUAUCUUUUUAAGUAGCCUAGACAAAUCUUGGGGUUUUUAUGUCACUGUUAAGUGCCUGAUUAUCUAAGGAUUUGUUUUAAGGUCUUGGGCUCCUACUUGGAGACUACAGUACAUUUUACAUCAUUGGCUCUGGAUGGUAAAACUAAACUGGAAGAACUUGUAAGACACAUUGUGUUAGCUAAAAUCAAUAUUAGGUUUAACUAUGCAAUAUAAAGUUUAUGAUUCUAAAAUGUUAGAAAAAUAGGUGACUUACAUAUGGAUUUAUUUUUCUCACAGGUAAUUUUUUUUAUCUUGUUCAUGUUUUUAUAAACACUCGUGGAUAUUUUUCCUUAUUUUCAUUAGUGUUAACUGUAUUGCCUAAUUUAGUUCAAUAUUGAAUUUUUUCUAUUAUUUCUUAUUUCUUCAAGACAUUAAAUUCAGUAAAUUAUUUAUUUAAUUUUGGUUAUUUUCCUGUUAAAAAUGCAAGGAAUUUUUCCCUUUGUAAAGGACUAUAAAAGGGCAUUAAAUGUAGAAAAAUUUCAAUUUUUUUCUAUCCUUGGUAGAGGAAAGAUGAUAUUGCCACUGUCAGGUGUGAUAAAAAGGCAAAUACUUAGAAUUAAAGGUAGAAUAAUAUUUUAAAAAGAUAUCAAAUACAUAAAUCUGUUUUGAUCAAUAAAUAUUUGUUGUAGCAAAGACUAGUGUCUUUUAAAGAUGGGAAGGUAAAAGUACUAAAUCAGAUUAUUUUCCUUAAAAUAAAGACAAAGAGAAACUUACUUGGCUUAUACUUUCUGAUAUUAUUCCUACACAGAACAAUUACAAGCCUGAGAAUAUUUCUGAUUGAAAAGAUGAAAAAAAAUGUUAAAGAUACAUCUUGUUCUGCUACAUAUAUUAAAAAUCUGUUUGUAGUAACAACUGAAACAUCUGUCUCAUAAUGAGGUAUCUCUGAGAACAUAAAUAAGGGAUGUUUUCCCUUUAUAUCAGGGCUUUGCAGAAUGCAUUUCUCUUGUGAAUAGCUUGUAAUUUAUUCUGCAAAUGUUCAAACUUCACAAUGAAUAUGUUAAGUGAUUGUGGUUAAGAGGUGGUAUGUGGAUUGUGAUUGUGGUUAAGAGGUGGUAUGGUAAAUUUAUCAAUGAAGGCCCAUAAAAAAAAAGGAAACCAAAUUUUAGGAAAAGCUCAUUUAUUCAUACAUAAAUAUUUAUUGUGCUACUAUGUGUCAGACCACUGUGUUAGGGAGUAAGUACAGAAUAAUAAACAAGACCCAGUCUCCUUCAAGGGCUGAACACAGAUAACUCACCAAAUACAGAAGUGGUAAGUAGCAGGACUAUGCAUAUGGUGCUAAGAAACAACAGACGGUAUAUCCAGACCUAUGUCAGUGGGGAGCCCAGGAAUGAUUCUCAGAGGAAAUACUGUCUGAAAGCUGACCUGAAGGUCACAUGAAGGACUCUAGGAGAAGGUGGAGAAGAGGAGGCUUCAGGACAGAGAAAAAACAUGCAAGAGGCUGGAGAUGAGACAGAAUGUCAGAACAAGUAGUUAUGUGUGGCUGAGAGAGCUGGGAGUGGGUGUGAGGAGAAAUGGCAAGGAAUAUGGCUGAAGAGGUAAACAAAAGCUCAAGCUAGGUCAAACUAGGUCUAACUAGAUUUGGACCAUUUUUCAAGGACAAAGAGAAGCCACUGAAGGUUUGUAUUUUAGAAAGAUCACUGGGGUACCUUUUUGAAGGAUGGCUCAGAUAACUCCCAACAGUCAGGCAUGAAAAGCAAGAACAAUGAUAACCUGGACUAAAUGAUGAUUGGAUAGAGGAAGGAUAUUUAAGGGUUGAGACCAAUAACCUAGUAGAUCUGGGGGGUAAGGGAAAGGAAAAAGUAACUGAGAAAGGGAACAUAAGAAGUGGACUGAGUUUUUGUGGGGAAACACUGGAUUUCAGUUUUAUCAGUCCCUGUAAGACACUCAGAUAUAAAGGUCUGAAGCUCAGGAGAGAUGGCUGGAAAACAGGUUUGGGAGUGAUCAGUAUACAAAUGGCAAAAACAAGCACC